UGAUAGGAAGUUGAUCUACCAUGACAUCUGCUACUGUCUUGGUUGCCAAGGUUGGGUUGGCUGAUCUGGAAUGUCAAAAGAGGUCUCCUUCUUCCCUCACCCAUCUGGGUGAGCCUCCUUUGUCAACCAAACGAAAGAGGUUGACCUUCUCAGCUCAAUGUAUGUAGGACUUUGGUCAAGGGUAUAGGAGUAGCCAUGCUGCUCUGGCAGAAAAGUGAAAAAAUUUCUCAGCAUUCUUAUCUGUCUUACUAGGAAUUACACGGCAAGACCCCGGGCUUGUCAUUUCCAGGUCUGGGUUGUCUAUCACA
This is an unclassified non-coding RNA of Cebus imitator (Panamanian white-faced capuchin), 308 nucleotides long. Its record names the gene 7SK. It matches the Rfam family "7SK RNA". From Rfam's summary of the family: 7SK was discovered as an abundant small nuclear RNA in the mid-70s but a possible function has only recently been suggested. The record is from Ensembl. Lineage: Eukaryota; Metazoa; Chordata; Mammalia; Primates; Cebidae.